Molecule: long non-coding RNA, 293 nt
Filed under: Gorilla gorilla gorilla (western lowland gorilla)
Lineage: Eukaryota; Metazoa; Chordata; Mammalia; Primates; Hominidae
Description: lncRNA (ENSGGOG00000044631.1)
Source: RNAcentral
GGGCUCCCAGUGAGACCCCAGAAACGCUGAAACCCUAUUUCCUGUUUUCUCUUUUACUUGCUAGAUGUCCCAAUUCUUUUUUAGCAUAACUUGAUGUGACACCAAUGUCUUUGAUAUGUGUGUCUGAGAAAGCAGCUACUGAAAACCAUCUUCUCCAGCAAGCCUUCCAGGACUGCAGAUAGUGCAAAGGAAGAAUGAGCUACAGCAAGAAAAUUAUAUGGUCUUGAAGACAUCUUUAAAAAUCCGUUGGAACAGAGUAUAAAGGUGUGUUCCAGAAAAUUAGCCAAUGGCAC